Molecule: ribosomal RNA, 288 nt
Filed under: uncultured soil bacterium
Lineage: Bacteria
Description: partial 16S ribosomal RNA
Rfam family: Bacterial small subunit ribosomal RNA
Source: RNAcentral
AGAGUGAACGCUGGCGGUAGGCCUAACACAUGCAAGUCGAACGGCAGCACAGUGGUAGCAAUACCAUGGGUGGCGAGUGGCGGACGGGUGAGGAAUACAUCGGAAUCUACCUUUUCGUGGGGGAUAACGUAGGGAAACUUACGCUAAUACCGCAUACGCCCUUUGGGGGAAAGCCGGGGAUCGCAAGACCUGGCGCGGAUAGAUGAGCCGAUGUCGGAUUAGCUAGUUGGUGAGGUAAUGGCUCACCAAGGCGACGAUCCGUAGCUGGUCUGAGAGGAUGGAUCAGCC